RNAcentral lists this transfer RNA (358 nucleotides) under uncultured Microcystis sp. RNAcentral describes it as "partial 16S-23S ribosomal RNA intergenic spacer". The stretch from base 134 to 207 matches the Rfam family "tRNA". The record is from RNAcentral. Lineage: Bacteria; Bacillati; Cyanobacteriota; Cyanophyceae; Chroococcales; Microcystaceae.
AAGGGAGACCUAAUUCGGGUAGGAGACGAAAAAAAGUAGUCGCUACCAAGAAUCAAUCCCAAAAGGUCGGAGCGAGGCGAAAUUGGCUUUCAAACUAGGUUCUGGGUUCACACAAGACCUGAAUCAGGAACAAGGGCUAUUAGCUCAGGUGGUUAGAGCGCACCCCUGAUAAGGGUGAGGUCCCUGGUUCGAGUCCAGGAUGGCCCACCUGCACAGGUGGCAAAAACAAGAGAAGCGAGGAAUCAGCACCUGCUCUUACCUACAUAGUAAGAGAGAAUGCUGGCUCUGAGUACAGAGUCCAGAGGAACCUUGAAAACUGCAUAGAGCUAGGUGAAAAAGCCAAAAAAGAAGACCGCAA